Molecule: non-coding RNA, 5216 nt
Organism: Meleagris gallopavo (turkey)
Lineage: Eukaryota; Metazoa; Chordata; Aves; Galliformes; Phasianidae
Source: RefSeq, a predicted model, not a curated record
GCGCAGUGCCGGGCCAGCGAAUGUAGCGAGCGGGGCCUGCAGGUGAACGCGGCGCCCAUGGAGGCUGCGCAGCCCUGCCAGGCUGCCGUCGCCCUGAGCGAGGAAUGCCAACAAAUCGUGCCUCACACGGAAGUUGUGGACUUGAAAGCGCAGCUUCAGAUGAUGGAAAAUUUGAUCAGCUCGAGUCAGGAAACCAUCAAAGUGUUGUUGGGUGUCAUACAGGAGCUAGAGAAAGGAGAAGCUCACAGAGAAGGGCUUUCAUAUCGGACCGGUCAAGACACGGCCAACUGCGACACGUGCAGGAACAGCGCAUGCAUCAUCUACAGGUGGGUCACAAACCUCCCAUCCCACUUCGUACUGAAUGAGAGGUAAUGAUUUACUCAGUGCAAUAUCAAAUGUCAGCCUUGAUUCAGCUGUUGGGAUUCUAUUUGGUUUUGGUUUUUUUUGCUUGUUUGUUUGUUUUUGUAUUGUCUACAUGGAAACAGCUCAAGAAACAGACAAUAAAUUCACCUUCACUUAGGUAUUCAAAUUCAACAGAUAGCUGUCUAAAAUUUUCGGAUCAGGGCUGCAGAUUAUUAUGGUCAGUAGCACUGCUGCAGAUCUUGGGUGUGAAGUACUGCAAGUCACAAGCCUCAUUUUCACGUAGCUACAAAUCCUUAGAAUUUUCUGUUCAACAACUCAACAUGAAUUGACGUUUACAGCAGUAAGCACUGGACUGGGGAAGCAAUUCCAAGAGAUUUUAUAGCAAACGUAACCACACACAGAUUCAAUCCAGGCAGUUUAACCAGUGAAUUGACAUUACUACCCAGGCUUUUACAUGCUUCCACAUUUAUAGUGCAGGAAUUUUAUCCCAUUGGCCACUACCCAACAUGAACAGCAGCUCUAAGUUCUUUACAUCAGACAUCCUCAGUCUUAAUGCACCACACAUAGACUUGCUGCAUGUAAACAGACUCAUUCUGAAGAUGUAUGAUCUGUUACAUGAACACAGGUCUGUUUGCUAGUCAAACCAAUAAGCAAUUACAAACGGCUCAAAGCUGAAAGGUUUUAUAAAGAUUGUUUAUACCUGCUAGAAUUUCCUGUCUGUAGCUGCUAGAAUUUCUUCUGCAGAAGGAAAUGCUUGGAGUUCACUCACUAGAAACAGAUGAGGUGCCAAAGGUAAAAGGACACGUUUCAGUUAGCUGUAAAGCAGAGGUUCCCCUCCUCAAGUUUAUCAGCCAAGAGGCUUCUUUUGCCAUGGAUUAUGUAAGGAAGGAAUAGCAGAUAACCAGUGGGCAUGACAUGAAGCCAUCAGGACUCUGAUGAUGUGUUUCAUACUGACAGCUUAAUUGCCCUCCUCUUUUACAGAAAAGCUUAAAGAAAAGCAACUGCAUAUUUACAUGUGUUGCAGGUAAGACGAAAACAAAUGUAACUCAGAUUGUCAUUUCAGCAGGGAUUUCUUCUCUUUGUUACACAAAGGGAUAAAACAUUCUGAAAAUGUAUUUCUUUUUGAAAUACAUCAGGAAAGUAUUUAAGAAAAUUAGGCAGUAUAGUACAAAAGAAAAUACAUAAAGAUGGCUACUAGCUAUAGAUAUAAACUAAAAUGAAUGUACUGUUGCUGGCCAGGUUUGAAAAACCAUCAUGUUUCUACACUAGAUCCCUGAUUUAGGUAGAUCUGCACCUAUUCGUACAUCAGCUCCUAGCUUCCUAGCAGCGAAGGUAAAAAGGAUGGAGAACUUCAACUCCACCUUUUCUCCUUGCUGACUAACUUGGAAAGAGAUAGAUGCUGUUCUGUGCAGGGGAAGGAACCAAUUGAUUUAUUUCUCCUUUAGAGCAGUAUUUAAAAGCAUGUCAAUACUAAAGGCCAACCCUGCCUCUCUGCUUGCUCAUCCCCAGCAAUUUCUUUCUCAAGACAGACUGGGAAAUUGCAACAGAGCACGCUGCCAUCAGAGGUGCUCUUUUUGUCUCGUUAACUAAAACCCAAAUCCAAUUUGAAUUAUUAAUUUAAGGUCUUGAUUUUGAGUCAGCACAAUUUAAAUUAAGCAACUUCCCAGUUUUUACCUCUUACAUUCACUGCAAACAAUGCAGACUGGAAGUGUUUCCUUGCAUACACAUAGCAGCAUUUCCCACCAGGACAGCCACUUGGACUGCAGCUAUCCAUGCUGGGCAUUUGCCUACAGCAGUGUUUCCAGGGGAAGUUUUAGCAAAACUCAGCUCAGCUCUUUGUCAGAGGAGCAGAAUACACGCUGCAGGCAAAAAGUCUAAAUGCAGAAGACGGUGCAAAACAGGGAAACUAUGAGAAGCCUGAAUUACUCUGACAAGAUAAGUAGUCAGAAGGGAUAGAAGAGAAAUUCUCUGAUAAAACUACUGCUAAGACAGAUUGCCUUGUACAAUCCUCUUCUCCUCCACAAGUCAUAGUGCAGUGCUGGAACCUCUGAGACAAAUGAAGGCUUUCACAGAAUCACAGAACCAUAGGGGUUAGGAGGGAGCUCUGAAGAUCCCCCAGUCCAACCCCUGCUAAUGCAGCUUCCUCACAGCAGGUCACACAGGUAGGCAUCCGGGUGGGUAUGGAAUACCUCCACAGAAGGAGACUCCACCACCUCUCUGGGCAGCCUGUUCCAGUGCUUGGUUUGUACCUGUUGCCCUUUGUCCAGUUGCUGGGGACCACCAGUAGGAACCUGGCUCCACCUACUAGUCUCCCACUCAUUAGGUAUUAACAAGCAGUCAUUAUAUUAGUUAUUUAAAAAUAAUAAUUUGGAACAGUAAAGAACAAGCAAACGUUGUCCAGUGUUAAUCCAAUUAGUAUCAACAUCUCCUAACCAGAGAUCACAGAUCAGUUUCAGAGUCAUCCAUCCUUUACAAACUAAAGAGCAAAAUUAAUAAAAAGACAAAAAAAGUCUUUCACAAACUAAGAUUCAGCACUAAUAUUUUUAAAAACAGAGGAGUCUUAUUAGGGUAUCUUGUCAGCACAAAACCAACUGAAAUAGGAGCACAGCCUGAGCAACAAGCUGUUUCUCAGCAUUUAAUUUUGUCUUUGACAUUGCAUGGCAAGCUCCAGCUAUUCAGCUGAAAGCAUUAUGAGAGCACUCCCAGCACACCAUUACAGGUUAAAAUCAUGGCUACGUACAUGAAGGAGGCAGCACAGCAACCCAUGGAAACCAUUCUCAUGAAGAUGUUAGAUACACUGAUAAUUAGGAAAAUAUAUGAAGAUGGCAUGCAAAGACAAGUAGCCAUAAAUUCCUAAGAUAUUAUCAGUAGAGCAAAAUCAGGUAACCAAAUGCCCAGAACAGUAAUUUUCACCAUCUUUUUUAUUUCCUACCCACAUUAACAAAUUUGUGCUGUUUCUCACAGAAUUCUUAUCUCUAGACUGUAAGAUACUUAGUUCAAAAAUGGAUCUUAAUGGCUUACCAGCACUGACAAUGCUUUGGAUCCUGGGCAUUUGUAAUAUUCAGGUUAAAAUAGGAAAUUUUAAAGAGAUUGUUUAGAAGUGUAUUAAGCUAAUUUUCAAGUUAUUAGUGCCUAUCUGGAUCCUGUUCUUCCAAGAUGCAGCAUGCACUAAUUCCAUGUCAUCCUAUUAAUGCAGCUAGAAGGAGACACAAUGAUGCUCCUUAAUUCCUGUUUCACCUAGCCUACUUCAAUGCAAAGAGUUAAGCUGCUCUAUAAAUGCUUGUAGGAUCUGGGCCAUAACACUGCAAACUAGGUAGUAACAAGGUAAACAGAGGCAAUACCAACUGAAAUGAGGAAGGUUUAGGUUGAACAGAGAUAUAAGGUUUACCCCUUGAAGGGGAAAGCAGAGGGACCGACCGCCCAGAGCCUGGGCAAACUCCAUCCUUGGUGCUUUCAAGAGGUGGCUGGAUAAAAGCCCCAAGCAACACAGCCCUGAAUCUGGGUUAUUCUGAUUCCGCAGUCUUACAAGUAAGCAACACAUCAGAUUGUUAGUAUCUAGUAUCUUAAAAUGAUGCAUAUUAAUAACGUGUGACUACGUUAAAAAAGAAAGCCCAUCCAAAUUCCUGAGCUUGUUGCUAGAUAUCCUCCCACGUCCCAUAUGUUUAAAACCAAGUGGUUAUGACUCCUCAAACUGUUUUUAAUCCCAUAUACAGCAACAGAAUUAGAAAAAGCUCACUCUACUGCCAGCGUGCAAAAAAUAAACACGUUCAUUAACAUAUAUUCUCAAAUCAUUAAAAAAAUAAAUAAAUCACAAAGUCAAAAACAGAAAAUCCAGCACACCAAUCCCUAAUGCACAGUGCUAAGACUCAGAAAAUGGGAUUAACCAUAAAAGAAAAGUCUGAGGGAGCUGGCCAUGCUGUGUGCAUGCCUUAAGUGAGACGGGACACCCAAACUACCCACCUGGCUACAGCUGGGAAGGGCUCUGUAUUGCAUCCUUUAUCCUGCAGUGGGCCCCAGGUAGGGACACCUCUGGAAGGCACUGCAUGUAACCCACGUGCACCAUACGUGGCUGAGCAGCUGUUCAGGAUACCUGGUGUUCUAACCCUGCACAGAAGAGCACUCUGAGUUUAUCCUGGAGAACUCGGCAUUACAGGAUGGAGUCCCCACUGCUUUCAGAACGCACAGCUUCCAUUUCACAAACCGAAAGCAGAGGCUGGGGGACACUGAGCCCAAAGCAAAAACAAACACAGAAACCCCGCAGAGGUUCCUGCUGACUACAAUUCUGAAAUUAACAUCACGGAAUGAAAAUAAUUUUCAAGGCAACGCCGCCUCACUCGCUGCAAACCAAACUUGCACAGCAAGGGAACGAUGCUUCCUACGGACAGAGCAGACCUGACUCACGUUUCUGCUGGGCUUCACUGCAUGCACACGCUGUGCAGUAAAUAACAUCAGGGCCCAGGAAACGGGAAAGAAGAGAAAUAAAAAAAAGACUGUGAUCACACAUUGGGUUCUCUCUGCACCAGCAUCAGUCCUGAGCAGAACAGAGGACUGGAGAAGCAGACAUGGGGUCCUGCGCUCGCGGGUUCAGUCAGGCACACACUGACAGCAUCCAUAGCUGCAACUGCAGCAAUGCUUUUGAUCAGUCCUGGACCAGAACUGGCUCACUGUGACAGGAUUUCAGGGAUUUUAAUUACAAAGUUCUCACCUGUGUUUAAUGACACAAUUCUCAGAGGUCUGCUGUUUGAUUUCCUUUGGCCAAAUUUUCAUGGGACUGACAUAUAUGCAAACACUGAUUCACGUGCAAAUGCCAAGAUUCUGUUACAAACCCUGUGAAGAUAUGGUGGCUCACAGGA